AGGAUGAACGCUAGCGGCAGGCUAACACAUGCAAGUCGAGGGGCAGCGCGAGGUAGCAAUACUUGGCGGCGACCGGCGAAAGGGUGCGUAACGCGUGAGCAACUUGCCCGUAUCUGGGACAUAAGCGGUGGAAACGCCGUCUAAUUUCCCAUAACAACAGAGGCCGCAUGACCUUUGUUUGAAAGAUCCGUCGGAUACGGAUGGGCUCGCGAGACAUUAGCUAGUCGGCGUGGUAACGGCACACCGAGGCGACGAUGUCUAGGGGUUCUGAGAGGAAGGUCCCCCACACUGGAACUGAGACACGGUCCAGACUCCUACGGGAGGCAGCAGUGAGGAAUAUUGGUCAAUGGGCGCAAGCCUGAACCAGCCAUGCCGCGUGAAGGAAUAAAGGCCCUAUGGGUCGUAAACUUCUUUUGUGGUGGAGCAAUAAGGUGUACGCGUACACCGAUGAGAGUACAUCACGAAUAAGCAUCGGCUAACUCCGUGCCAGCCGCUGC
Molecule: ribosomal RNA, 497 nt
Filed under: uncultured bacterium
Lineage: Bacteria
Description: bacterial SSU rRNA
Rfam family: Bacterial small subunit ribosomal RNA
Source: RNAcentral